UGGAUUAGGCAUGCAAGUCGAACGGAACUUCUAGCUUUUUCGGAAGUUUAGUGGCGAAAGGGUGAGUAACACGUGGGUUACCUGCCCUAGGGUUCGGGAUAACCUGUCGAAAGACGGGCUAAUACCGGAUACGUCCUGCACUUUUCGAAGUGUAGGGGAAAGAUGGGGAUCCGUAAGGACCUAUCACCCUUGGAUGGGCCCGCGGCCUAUCAGCUAGUUGGUGAGGUAAUGGCUCACCAAGGCUAAGACGGGUAGCUGGUCUGAGAGGAUGGUCAGCCACACUGGAACUGAGACACUGUCCAGACACCUACGGGUGGCUGCAGUCGAGAAUCUUUCGCAAUGGGGGAAACCCUGACGACGCGACGCCGCGUGGAGGAUGAAGGCCUUCGGGUUGUAAACUCCUGUCAGCAGGGGAGAACAAGUUGUCGGUGAAUAAUCGAUAGCUUUGACAGUACCUGCAGAGGAAGCCACGGCUAACUCUGUGCCAGCAGCCGCGGUA
This 499-nucleotide ribosomal RNA is filed under the name uncultured bacterium. RNAcentral's name for it is "bacterial SSU rRNA". It matches the Rfam family "Bacterial small subunit ribosomal RNA", at positions 45 to 522 of the family's 1533-position model. The record is from RNAcentral.